Molecule: long non-coding RNA, 2002 nt
Filed under: Mus musculus (house mouse)
Lineage: Eukaryota; Metazoa; Chordata; Mammalia; Rodentia; Muridae
Description: coatomer protein complex, subunit gamma 2, opposite strand 2 (Copg2os2)
Source: RNAcentral
AUUUCUCCUGUGCAUGUUUUUAGAAGAAUAUAAAAAGAAGAAUGUAAAAGGUGGUGUGAUAUGUCACCUCGUCGAGGUAGGAUGCUGGGAGGAUCCCAUAGUUUAGGCCAUGAGGAGGCAAACUCUGAGUGCCUAGGCAUGGGAGUACAGGCUAACGAGGUAGGAUGCUGGGAGGAUCCCAUAGUUUAGGCCAUGAGGAGGCAAACUCUGAGUGCCUAGGCAUGGGAGUACAGUGGUACAGUAUGGCUCCAGCUUAGUGAAUCCAAUGACACACUGGGCAUCAAGGGUAGUUCAGGAGGGAAGGACUUAGGAAAAGGUCUGCUAGAGGAUUCAUAGACAGUAGCUCAAAGCAUAGUGGUAAGAUUGUUCUUUAUUACACACUAGAGAGAAAAGCAGAAGAAAUGAUUACUCGGGGCCCAGAAGAGGUUAGAGGUUUUCAACGCAAGGGAGAUUGUGAUACAUAAGUUACUCCAUUUGCAAGACUAAGAAAGACUAAAAUGAAGGAGCCCAGAAGGAAGGAAAGAAAAAGCACAGUGAGAAGAAUGAGGAGAGCAUUGCAUCUAGGGAGACAUGGCAAAGAACAGCGGGGGUGGGGAUGGACUCAGCAGUGCUUGCUAGGGAUAACAGGGACAGGAGUGAGCAUAGGUCAACAACUGAGCAGAUAGCAAGAUAACAACUUCUGAGUCCAUGGAUUGACUAGGAGGUGGCAGAAGUAAGGCUGGACAGUGAUUGGGAAGUGGAGGGUCUCUGGAAAACAUCAGGGAGAAGUGUAGGGGAAUGCCAUGCAAAUUUAAAUUCAUGUUUAGGGCAGAAAGAGAGGCUGAGGUUGGGCUGCUAGGGGGGAAGUAGCAGGGAGGAGUCAGUGUGCAUCAGAGAGGCUGAUAGGAAAGAGGGGUCACAUCACGUCAGGAGAAAAGUCCGUCAUCUUGUCUGGUGGUUUGGGCAAAAGGAAAUGGGCCACUCUACCAAAGGGGAAAUCUGCAUGUAAUCUCUCCAAAUGGGGACACUGGAAGCUCUCACGGGGCAAGCUGGUAGGAUGGGAAUAUCAGUGUCAAGCCUUAGGAGGAGAGAAGAGAGAUAAGCUCCAAGUGUUUCCAGAAUGGAGCCUCAGGAAAAAGUAAAGCAAAGGAGUCAAUGUGACUUGGGUUAAUUAGAAGAAACCAAAUGACACGUACUUUAUGACAGUUCCUGAACAAAUGGCUCUGGAAGGCAACCUCAGGGACAUGGGAAUGGACUCAAGUAGAAAGACUGGAGCAAGUGGGUAGGUACAGGGUGCAUGUGAAUGGUGGAGGCACAGCUGGGCACCAAUGCGAGACAGCCAUUUCGCAGUGAGCACUAAAUCUGUGUUUCUGCUGUUCAAGACGGCUGAAGGGUGUGCUGUGGAACAGAGAGACUGCAGGUGGUUAGUGGAGCCUAGAUGCAGGGGAGUCUUCUAAACUCAUCGGGUUUGUAGGGUUAGUUUGAGAAUGUAAAGAAAGUAGGUAACAAUAUUUUUGCAGGAUAGGGCUGGGUUUUGUUGUUUUAUUUUCUUGUUAAAGGACAAAAGAUGAAGAGAGAAAGGAUGAAGAUUGGUAGUAUAUGUAUGAAUAGAAGGUCUUCAGAACUGAGUGUCAAUCUUAUAAUGUAGUGGGCCCAAAGGAGAAAAAGGAAGCAAGAGUGACCUGGACUACAGGAUUGAUAGUGGGAAGGCAUCUUCCACUUAUAGUGGUGCAUUCCCACUCUUUGGAAAAAAAAUCCUGGUUCAUUAGAAACAACACAGGAAGGGACACUUGAAUGAAAGCAGUGAGCAAACUGCUGUAGACUGAGGAACUCAGUGACUAUAAUGGAAAGAGAAACACCCUCGACUGCCAUCUAAAUCAUUGAAAUAUGGAAGCAAAGGCAGCCUAAGUGCCAUUUGAAGUCAGAACCACAGGAAUAUCCAUACGAGUGACAGCCAUUGGUUGAGAAGAGAAGGGAGAGGAUGGAAAGAGGCUGAGAGUGGGUUCAGAUUAGAACAUUAUGG